CCAGGACCUGGCACAAGCUAGACAAGCACUGUACUACUGAGCUACACCUUCAGCCCUCCAUUAUUUUUCAAAUCAUCAGUCACUGAUGUCAGUUAGAAAGAGUUUAACCAUCUCCAUUUGAAUUCCCUCUUAGGCCCAAAGACCAGAUCCAAAAUGUAGAGAGAGAAUGUGGUCUUUUUGCUUCUGAGUCUGAGUAAAUCACUUCCCAGUUUCCUCAUCAAUGAGAUGGAGAUGGCAAUCUCUACCCCACCUUACUACUGGGGCCAGUGGGAAGGUCAGACAGCAGAGUGUGAAAGUGCCGUAUGAAUCGUCAAGGCCUGUGUGAAUUCUAUGGACCUAUUUUUUAGGUCCAAGCCUCUGUGCUUGAGGCUCUGGACAAAACUUUCCAAGGCUGCUGCACAUCUAGACAGUGACAUCAUAUGCAUGUUAUUAGAGUCCAGGGUGGGGCACAAAAGAGAGGCCCAGAGUCAUGGAGGCAGGGAAGGAUACAGAAGGGAGCCCCACCCACUGCCUGCCUGUGGAAGACCUGUUUUCUGACUUAAAUAAAUUAAUUCUCUUAAACAGUCAUAGACUCUGCCUGACCUCUGUGCUCAGGGGAUGCUCUGAUUACCCCCUUAAAUAUAAGGACUAGGGCUGGGGAUGUUACUCAGUGACAGAGUGCUUGCCUAGGAUGUGUGAGGUCUGAGAAGUUAGUUCAAUCCCCAGCACUGAUCUGGGGAUUGAAAAAAAAAUAGUGUAUGAGAGACUCUGAUUUAUCUCUGUAUUGACCUUGGGGCCUGGACAUGGCAGGCAUUCAGGAUAAGUUUGUUCAACAAAAUACAGGUAGAACAUUUUGUGAGAUCUCCUCAUCACCCUCAUUCUCACUUCCUUUGUGUUAGCAAAUUCUACUUGUAGAUAAGCAUAAAAAACCAGGAUGUGAUUCAGGGAGAUGGAGGCUCUACUCAUGCAUGAAGAUGUUAUUGGCCAGUAUUAAUGAAAGGGCUUCAUUGGAGUGUUACCAUUAGGUACUUUGUUAAUCCCAGGAGACUGUGAAUCCAGGGCCUGGUAGGAAAAGCUCUCUGUCUGCCAGUGGUCAGGUUGCUUUUGAACCCCUUCACUGGUCCUGCCAAUCACUGGAGCAGAAAGAAAAUGGCUUAAUUAACAAAUGUUUGUGAGAUUUUAUUGUGUGCCUGGCCCUGUUUUUGGUGCUUUGGGUAACACAAAGAAGGUCCAAUUGUGCCUUCUGAAUUGGAAAUAUGCACUACAGUUGAGAAGAUGACUUGUAGAGGCUCAGGGAAUUCCUGCUGCCAGGCAGUGUUAACAUAGGGCCAAGACAAUGGUAAUCAUUGACAUCCAAGACAGAGGCGGGGAGAUCUUCAGAGGCCCUAGGGUUGGGAAGGCUUUCCAGAGGAGGUGGAACUAUGUGAGGGAGAGAAAGGCAAUCAUGGAGACUUGCCUCCUCCACUUCCCACAAAUCUUCUUUCCCUUUAUGGUACCAAUUAGGAGAAUGCUUUAGUUUUCAACUGCUGCAAAACAAAAUACAACAAAUUUAGCAGCUUAAAAAAACAUUCAUUUAUCACUUUAUAGUUCUGCAAGUCAGAAGUCCAGGCAUGGUGUGCUUAGCUUCCCUGCCCAGGCCUUACAAGAUUGAAAUCAAGGUAUGAGCUGGCUGGGUGCUAGAGGUUCUGAGAAGUGACCUCCUUGGCACUCCCAAGCUCAUUUAGGGUGGCAGAAUUUAGUUCCUUGCAGUUGACGGACAGAGGUUCCUGUUUCCCUGAUGUUGUUAGCUAGGGUUGCUCUCAGCUUCUAGAGGCCACAUUCUCAAGUCCUUUCUUCAUGGCUCCCUCCAUCUUCAAUCUAGCACUAGCAUAUCAAAUCUCCUUCAUAUUUUGAAUUUCUGACCUCCUUUCUGGCACGAGAUGAAGAAAUGUUCUGCAUUUAAAGGUCUCUUGUGAUUUUCUCCAGUGCCUCUUGAUGGUCUCCUUACCAUCAGCUCAAAGUCAAUUGAGAAGUAAUCUAAUCCACUUGCAAAAUCCCCUUUGUCAGGUGAACUAACAUAAUCAAAGUCCUGGGAAGGGGGAUAGAAAAUCUUGGUGGGAGUUAUUUUGAGAUUUAUUAAUAGAAAGAAAGUUAUGAGGGUCUAAACUCAGGUGUGGGCAGAGGGAUAGCAGAGAGGGGAGAAGCUGAGAGACAGCAAGCACUGAACCAGGUACUUUCACAAAGGACGUCUCCAUCCUCACAGCAAAACUGGAAAGCAGCAUCAUUCUCAUUUCCUCAUUUUAUCCAUGAAAUGCUGAGACUCAAAGAAAAGAAGAGGCAUAGCCAUUAAAUGGCAGCUCUGCCUAAUUCCAGAGCUUUCCUGUUCCAUUUGGCUGUCUGAGAAAGGAGGAGGGGGCAGUGUAAAAUACCCUGGGGAGAUCAGGAGCACAGACCUUGGCAACUGAUUUGCUGUGGUGCAAAGGUUGGAGAGGAAUCCAAGAUGAUCUAAAGCACUGAGUCUAGAGGAUGGGAAGAUGGUGGGAUCAUUAAAAGAAAUAUACCUAAGGGCUACUUCAGCCAGGUAUAGAAAGGUCACCACAUUUCUGUGUGGAUUUCAAAUACUCAGUACUUCCAGGCUCUGUAAACACAUGCCUUUACCGUCAUAGAAGCUGAGUCUCCUACCAAGGAAAGGUUAGGAACCCUCAGCUGUGUGUCUUGACUCCUAGCAACUGUUUCAAGCCUAGGAAUAGCUGGAAUCCUGAUGUGCUAGAUCCCAGCAGGGUGAGGCAAAAAGGGUUGAUACCAGCUGGUGGCAGCAUCUGGAGCUGAAUGUAGAAACUCUUCUUUGCCAAGUGUUCUGGGCAGCACUCAGUGUUCACACCAGUUUGACUUUUUGGACUCUGAUACAGAGAUCAGGUGGGUAGUCACACUAAGAUGUCUGUACAUGGCUCUUAAGAAGUUGUAGCGCUGUCCUUGCAGCUCCUCUAGGACAAUCGUUCCUGGGCUUACCUGCUGUUUCCCCUUCCCUGUCUUUCUUUAUCCAUUCUGUCUGCAUCAGGUGACGAAUUCAAAGGCACUUUAAUGUAAAAUAUGGAAUUUCUGUUUAGUAAGUCCCUUUCUGAGACUGUGGCUUGCUGGAUUAGGUGGUUCAUGUGUUGUUGUGCUCUGAAUUUCUUCUUCACCUUGGUUUCUCCAGAGCAAGGAUGUGAUCACUCAGAGAAGGAAGGCACUUUUCUGUGGUCUGUCCUUGCCCAUUUUGAAAACUUACCAUUUCAACAAAUAUUAACACCUCCAACAGUAGCCAACAUCAGCUAUGUUGUAACUAAGAGUUUCCGUGGGAGGCAUGGCUAAAUUGGGUGUUUUCUCUAAGGGCCAUUUCAAUUGGGGUUCUCUGUGCUUGGGGAGUUUAGUUGAGAGGGACAUUUGGAAGGACUGGCAUUAAAAAGGUAGAUGGAGGAGAGGAUAGGGUUGCUUACACUGAGCAUUAAAGGAUGGCUGGCGCUGGGUUAAGUAGCCAGAAGUCCUCUCAGGCAGGGUGAGGACUGAGCGAGGAUGUGCAGGUUCCAGGGAACAUGGUUUAUGGGAUGUGAGUGAGGCUCUCAGGGUGAACCAGGGAGGUAGAGGAGGUGGAGCCACCCUAAUCUGAGAAAACACUCUCUGUUCUGUUUCUUUUCUCUUUAGGAUUUUUUAGCCUCCUCCCCUAUAGGUGGAUUUGUAGGGAAACAUUUUCUCUGGCCUAGCCUCAAGGGCACAUUGUGGAAUACUAUAUCCCUUUUAGGUUUAUUCUCUGCCUUCCUGUGAAUAUCCUUUCCUUUCCCCUGCCCCAGCCCUCAUUUCUUUAAAAAGUACUGUUUUUACCAAGCAAACUUACUUGUUUUCAUUUCUGCAGACAAAUGCAAUAUUUGAAUGCAUUUAAUUUAGGCACUAAGCCAUGGCAGUAAACCACGAUAACUGCCCCAAAUAAAUAAUUUAUGAAGUGGGAGGAUCCCCAAAAGACCAUAAAACCCCAAAACAUGGGGGUACCUCCUCUCUUUGGGAAGCUCUGCUUCAUGUUCCUGGAGCUUACUUUUUCAUUAAAUAAACCUUUACACAGGGGCUGUGGCAAACACCUGUAAUCCUAGUUACUUAGAAGGCUUCUAGUUACAAGUUUGAGGCCAAGGCCAGCCUGGGCUACUUAGACCCUGUUUCAACAUUAAAAUAAAUAAAUAAAUAAAUAAAUAACAAAAGGGCUGGGGAUCUAGCUUAUGGGUAGAGCACACUUGGGUUCAGUCCUCAGUAGUAGGGGGAAUAAACAAAAUACCUUUAUGCUAUUCUGUUAAAAAAAAAAAGAAUGCACUUAAAUGUCAUUAUACAGUUAUCUAUCAUUUUACCUCUCUUUGGGAGCUAGUCCAUAUUUUGCAUGAUUUGUUGUUAUACAUUUUCUAUAGAAGUAUAGGAGAAUGGGGCCUAGUUUUUCUAUUGAGGCAGGUAUGUAACACCAGGCUGGAAAUUCCAUUCUCGUCUCUGAAUCUGACUAUAAUAGGGCAUAACUCCAGUGAUCAUAUGUCAUGAAGAAUGAGGUCAUACUAUAUUUAUUAGCAUUCUGUUAUUGCAGUUACAAAAAUCAUCUGGUAUUAGUUUGAGUCAAAGAAGAGAAUUUGUUUAAAAGAUUCAAGGAUAUGAUAUAUCCUGAGCUCUAGGAAGGAAUACAACUGGGCUUCAGGAAGGGACUUGACGUAGGAAUUGCAAAACCAUCAAAAAACAAGGCAGUUUCCUAGUGUGCUUCCUUCAGUGAGUGCUCUGUGCAGACUGGCUGUCCCUGUUCCCAGUCCAUGUGCAAGGCAGGAAAGGCCCAUUCCCACCAUUAUCAAUGAAGACCUGUUAGUUGCAUUUCUAAAUAUGUUUUGGAGAUUGAACCAUAGUAGUACAAUCAGCAGUGGCCAGUGUGGGAUCACAAAACACAAACACUGACUGUUGGAGGCCUGGCCUGUAAGAGGGCGUACUCAUCAGAAGGGCCUAAUUUAACAUCCAUCCUGCCCAACCAGACAGGUGGCCAACAACUUAUUUUUAUCAGUAUAAUUUUUGUAUUUCACAAUGAACUAGAGACAUUUUGUAGAGAUGGUAGUGGUGGAAUCUAUGACUAGGGAAGCCAUGUGGAAGACAUAGGUCUGGCUUACUUCUGAUCUGUACACUUCACAAGUUAUUCUAUUACUGAAGAUGCCUUGAAGAUACAAGACCCAGCUAGGAGCUCAUUAUCGCCUCUGGUCCAAAGCCACAUUCUAUUUUUCAAAAAAGUGCUUUAGAUAGGGCAAAGGGAGGGAGGGGAAGGGAGGGGGCAUGGGGAUAGGAAAGAUGGUGGAAUGAGAUGGACAUCAUUUCCCUGAGUACAUGUACGAAGACACAAAUUGUGUGAUGCUAUUUUGUGUACAACGAGAGAAAUGAAAAAUUGUGUUCUAUAUGUGUACUAUGAAUUGAAAUGCAUUCUGCUGUCAUGUAUAACAAAUUAGAAUAAAUAAAUAAGUUUUAAAAAUGAGCUGGAGUUGUGGCUUAGUAGUAGAGCGCUUGCCUGGCAUGUGUGAGGCCCCUCAAUCCUCAGCACCACAUAUAAAUAAAUAAAAUAAAAAGAUC
Molecule: long non-coding RNA, 5565 nt
Filed under: Marmota monax (woodchuck)
Lineage: Eukaryota; Metazoa; Chordata; Mammalia; Rodentia; Sciuridae
Source: RNAcentral